Molecule: long non-coding RNA, 2364 nt
Organism: Cavia porcellus (domestic guinea pig)
Lineage: Eukaryota; Metazoa; Chordata; Mammalia; Rodentia; Caviidae
Exons: 3
Source: RefSeq, a predicted model, not a curated record
GAUGAACCUGCAACACAUUGUGCUAAGAGAAAUCAAUCAGUCACAGAAGGACGAAGACCCUGUGAUCCUAACUGAGGCAUUCAAAAUAGUGGAAUGUGGAGAAGUGGACAGUAGAAUUCAUUGCAGUUACCAGGGCGAAGGAGGAGAGGGGGCGAUGGGGAGCUGCUUCUCAGUGAGGGUCAACCUGCAGUGACAAAGAUGAAGAAGCUCCCAAGAUGUGCUGUGAGACACCUGCCUAUCAUUAACGGGUCUCAUUCUGUAGUGCCAGCUGGUCUUGAGCCCACUGUGUACCCCCAGGCUGGCCUGGAAUUUAAGGGGAUCCUCACGCCUCAGCCUCCAGGUGUUAGGGUUACAGGCAGACAGCCUCACGUCGGGCUCUGGUGUCAUUUCUACAUCAGCACCACAGACCUUGGUACCUUGCCUUAGAAACAACUUUUCACACGCAGCUCACAUAGCUCAGUUUUCUAUAUUCUCCUAUGUUCAGGACACACGGAAAAAUAGAAGAGAGAAAUAGUUUGCAAAAGUAUCACGCAGCCAGCCACCAUAGAGCUGCAUCCAGGGCCUCUGCUGAAGCUGCUGCUUAUGUUUGUGGGUUUCAAAUGUCACACUGGCCUGGAAGCCUUUAUCAUGAGUGUGCCUGGCUGUAAGAAACAGGACAGAGAGGGGUGAGGAGUCCUAAGGAAGUCCCAGGAGAACCCGAGGGAAAGAACUGCAGGGGUUUCAAAGAAGCAGGUAGUACAAGAGACCAGAGUGCAAAUUUGGAAAUGCCCAGUUUAGAUGCAGACAAGAAUAAAAGAAAGCUAUUACUACCCACUAAUAACCCUAUCCCCUCCCCCCAUCCUGCCCCAAGCAAGCCACCUGGCCUUGCUCCCCAGCUUUGCCAACCCCACAGCCCAGUCAUAGCUUUAAUGAGAAAGAUGGACUCUGCUUGAGAUGUUCUCCAACCUUGGGAAGUGCUGAGGUCAGGCUGCAGAGCGCAGCAGCUGCCUGCGGCUUCUGCCCCCCAGUGAAAACCACACCGCCCCCUGCAGCAAGCGCCCACACAUCUGCGGAGGAGGCCGUUCCACCCUGAAGGGACUUGUUCUGGAUUUCAAAGUUGACUCCCCAGCUCCACAGCCUCCUCUUCCAACAAACAAGCCCAAAGCUUCGGGUGGCUGUGAGCUGCGUUCCUUGGCUUCCUUGGCUUGAGUCUGUAGCACUCUAAUCUCUGCCAUGGUCACAGGGCAUUCACCUCUCCCAUCUGUGUCUCCAUUGAGGACACUCAUCAAGGGCUCACGCCCACUUGGAUAAUCCAGGAAGAUCUCACCUCAAGACCCCUCCAUCAGUUACAUAUGCAAAGGAGACUCUUUUUUUUUUUUUUCAAAUAAGGUCAAUGUUACAGAUUCUGGGGCAUGGGGAUAUCCAUUGAGGGGGCAUCAUUCAAACCAAAAUACCAUGGAUUGAAAGAAAUUUGAAUAAUACUAGAAUUUUAAAAACUCAAAGUUUGAAGGGCAUUUGGAAUCUUGUUCAUUCAAUCCCUGUGUACAAUCCUUGUUGACUAUACUGUACCACUUCAUGCAGCACUGUGAGGUAUUGAGCUUUUGUCCUACAUUUUGUGAAACUUUGGAGUGCUGAAAAUGUUAGAAUCAAAUUUCUUAGCUUCUGAGACUGAGAAGUCAACUCUCACAUCAGAGUCCUCACAGGUCUAGGUCCUGGGAUCUCUUCUCUCAUUAAGAUACAAGAGAUGAUUGAAAAAUACAAUGAAUGCUUAAAAUUUUAAAAAUUUAUUAUAGUAAAGCACAUUGCCUUUAACACCCCUCAAAACUCUCCCCCUCACUUUGAAUACACUUAUCCCAUCCUUCUCGCCACUUUCUGAGGCAGUUCUGGAAGCCCACUUUUGUGUCUCCAUGAAGUUUGAUUAAAAAAAAAAAAAAAAAAAGGUAGUGAAUGCUACUACCAAGAGCAGUCCAACAGAAGAGUCCUAAAAACACUGUGGUGUGUCUUCAUCCCUCUUAUUCACUGGAUCUGGCAUUGUAUGACUUCCCAAUGUUCACUCAAAUUCAAAAUGACUGUGAAAGGUAAAUGUUUUGAAACAAUGUAGGUCGUCAAAGCAUCCAUGAUAAGCACAGCUGAGACACACACACACACAAAAGAAAACUUCCAGAACUCAGAAAGUUUCAGAACUUUCAGAACGUGGCAAGAAUUGCAGGAUAACUGUUCAAAGCUAGUGAGACUGUUUUGGAGGGAAUUAAUGGCAAUUUGUUUUUUCACUGCAAUGCUUAUUUUUAAUUUAAAUGUCCUAUUUUAUCACACCUCGGACAUGCCAGAUUACUAACCUCAUCUGAGGCAAUAAAUGCAAGCUUUCGUGACUCCUCAAAUUCACAU